GUGCUUGCUUCGGCAGCACAUAUACUAAAAUUGGAACGAUACAAAGAAGAUUAGCAUGGCCCCUGCACAAGGAUGACACGCAAAUUCGUGAAGCAUUCCAUAUUUUA
Monodelphis domestica (gray short-tailed opossum) is the source of this 107-nucleotide small nuclear RNA. NCBI's taxonomy places the organism in Eukaryota, Metazoa, Chordata, Mammalia, Didelphimorphia, Didelphidae. The record is from Ensembl.